Molecule: non-coding RNA, 98 nt
Filed under: Desulfuribacillus alkaliarsenatis
Lineage: Bacteria; Bacillati; Bacillota; Desulfuribacillia; Desulfuribacillales; Desulfuribacillaceae
Description: TPP sequence
Rfam family: TPP riboswitch aptamer (THI element)
About the family: Vitamin B(1) in its active form thiamin pyrophosphate (TPP) is an essential coenzyme that is synthesised by coupling of pyrimidine and thiazole moieties in bacteria. The previously detected thiamin-regulatory element, thi box was extended, resulting in a new, highly conserved RNA secondary structure, the THI element, which is widely distributed in eubacteria and also occurs in some archaea. Analysis of operon structures identified a large number of new candidate thiamin-regulated genes, mostly transporters, in various prokaryotic organisms.
Source: Rfam by way of RNAcentral
AUUGAAAGCUAGGGGAGCUAUUUGGCUGAGAGGAAUAAAACCGACCCUUUGAACCUGAUAUGGAUAAUACCAGCGCAGGGAAGCAGUAGACUGUCUUA